This 253-nucleotide ribosomal RNA is filed under the name uncultured bacterium. Its description in RNAcentral is "partial 16S ribosomal RNA". It matches the Rfam family "Bacterial small subunit ribosomal RNA", at positions 524 to 776 of the family's 1533-position model. The record is from RNAcentral.
UACGAAGGGGGCUAGCGUUACUCGGAUUGACUGGGCGUAAAGGGCGCGUAGGCGGCUUGUACAGUCAGACGUGAAAUUCCUGGGCUCAACCUGGGGGCUGCGUUUGAUACGUGCGGGCUUGAGUUCGGAAGAGGGUCGUGGAAUUCCCAGUGUAGAGGUGAAAUUCGUAGAUAUCGAGAGGAACACCGGUGGCGAAGGCGGCCAACUGGACGAAUACUGACGCUGAGACUCGAAAGCGUGGGGAGCAAACAGG